GUGCUUGGUUAAGCUGCACAUACAUUAAAAUUGAAAUGAUAAGGAAAAUAAAGCAAGAAUCCUGGGCAAGGAUGAGAUGCAGAUUCAUGAAGAGUUAAAACCAUUU
RNAcentral lists this small nuclear RNA (106 nucleotides) under Callorhinchus milii (elephant shark). The record is from RNAcentral. Lineage: Eukaryota; Metazoa; Chordata; Chondrichthyes; Chimaeriformes; Callorhinchidae.